Molecule: ribosomal RNA, 1401 nt
Filed under: uncultured bacterium
Lineage: Bacteria
Description: bacterial SSU rRNA
Rfam family: Bacterial small subunit ribosomal RNA
Source: RNAcentral
AAUUCGCCCUUAGAGUUUGAUCCUGGCUCAGGACGAACGCUGGCGGCGUGCCUAACACAUGCAAGUCGAACGAAGUUCUUACGGAAUGCGACUUCGGUCAAAUGAAGUUUGAACUUAGUGGCGGACGGGUGAGUAACGCGUGAGCAACCUGCCUUUCAGAGGGGGAUAACGUUUGGAAACGAACGCUAAUACCGCAUGAUAUAUUUAAAUCGCAUGGUUUGAAUAUCAAAGGAGUAAUCCGCUGAAAGAUGGGCUCGCGUCCGAUUAGGUAGUUGGUGGGGUAACGGCCUACCAAGCCGACGAUCGGUAGCCGGACUGAGAGGUUGAACGGCCACAUUGGGACUGAGACACGGCCCAGACUCCUACGGGAGGCAGCAGUGGGGAAUAUUGCACAAUGGGGGAAACCCUGAUGCAGCAACGCCGCGUGAGGGAAGACGGUUUUCGGAUUGUAAACCUCUGUCCUCUGUGAAGAAGAAAGUGACGGUAGCAGAGGAGGAAGCCACGGCUAACUACGUGCCAGCAGCCGCGGUAAUACGUAGGUGGCAAGCGUUGUCCGGAAUUACUGGGUGUAAAGGGAGCGCAGGCGGGACUUCAAGUCAGCUGUGAAAACUACGGGCUUAACCUGUAGACUGCAGUUGAAACUGUAGUUCUUGAGUGAAGUAGAGGUAGGCGGAAUUCCGAGUGUAGCGGUGAAAUGCGUAGAUAUUAGGAGGAACACCAGUGGCGAAGGCGGCUUACUGGGCUUUUACUGACGCUGAGGCACGAAAGUGUGGGGAGCAAACAGGAUUAGAUACCCUGGUAGUCCACACCGUAAACGAUGAUUACUAGGUGUAGGGCGGCUGAAACCGUUCUGUGCCGGAGUUAACACAAUAAGUAAUCCACCUGGGGAGUACGACCGCAAGGUUGAAACUCAAAGGAAUUGACGGGGGCCCGCACAAGCAGUGGAGUAUGUGGUUUAAUUCGACGCAACGCGAAAAACCUUACCAGGUCUUGACAUCGAUUGACGAGUGUAGAGAUACACUCUUCCCUUCGGGGACAAGAAGACAGGUGGUGCAUGGUUGUCGUCAGCUCGUGUCGUGAGAUGUUUGGUUAAGUCCAGCAACGAGCGCAACCCCUAUUGUCAGUUGCUACGCAAGAGCACUCUGGCGAGACUGCCGAUGUAAAUCGGAGGAAGGUGGGGAUGACGUCAAAUCAUCAUGCCCUUUAUGACCUGGGCUACACACGUACUACAAUGGCGGUUAACAGAGGGGAGCGAAGGAGCGAUCCGGAGCAAAUCCUCAAAAGCCGUCUCAGUUCAGAUUGCAGGCUGCAACUCGCCUGCAUGAAGUCGGAAUUGCUAGUAAUCGCGAAUCAGCAUGUCGCGGUGAAUACGUUCCCGGGCCUUGUACACACCGCCCGUCA